Molecule: ribosomal RNA, 398 nt
Filed under: uncultured bacterium
Lineage: Bacteria
Description: bacterial SSU rRNA
Rfam family: Bacterial small subunit ribosomal RNA
Source: RNAcentral
UAUUGCACAAUGGGGGAAACCCUGAUGCAGCGACGCCGCGUGAGCGAAGAAGUAUUUCGGUAUGUAAAGCUCUAUCAGCAGGGAAGAAAAAAUGACGGUACCUGACUAAGAAGCCCCGGCUAACUACGUGCCAGCAGCCGCGGUAAUACGUAGGGGGCAAGCGUUAUCCGGAUUUACUGGGUGUAAAGGGCGCGCAGGCGGUGCGGCAAGUCUGAUGUGAAAGCCCGGGGCUCAACCCCGGGACUGCAUUGGAAACUGUCGUACUUGAGUAUCGGAGAGGUAAGUGGAAUUCCUAGUGUAGCGGUGAAAUGCGUAGAUAUUAGGAGGAACACCAGUGGCGAAGGCGGCUUACUGGACGAUAACUGACGCUGAGGCUCGAAAGCGUGGGGAGCAAACAG